This 690-nucleotide long non-coding RNA is filed under the name Glycine max (soybean). Its description in RNAcentral is "long non-coding RNA (GMAX_LNC003792)". The record is from RNAcentral. Lineage: Eukaryota; Viridiplantae; Streptophyta; Magnoliopsida; Fabales; Fabaceae.
UUUUAUACACAACUAUGGAAGUGCAUAUGUAACAGAAUCCUAACAAUUUUUAACAGAAUGAUAAUUGCUUCUAACAACCUGAAUAUUGUUAUAACUAUUAUUUGAACUCCUAUGGCAGAUUCCUAUGACAGAGCACUGUUGUGAUCAAACGAAAUCCCUCAAGUGACUAGGCCUUGUACUGAUCUUCUUGGGCCUACUGCUGCAUCUUCUUCCUAUCAGAGUCAUGGGCGGAGGAAUGGGAAAUGAAGCAAGUGAUUUGAGUUUGUUCUAGUGGAGCUUUGAAUUGGGUGAUUGGCGAUCCAUGAUGGAGUGAGUAUUCAAUAUUCUUUGUUGUAAGCAUAGCUUUGUCAUUACUUUUAAUUUUGAAGAUUACAAGUUGCGAACUGUGCACAUGAGAAUUAUCACUUAAAUGCAGCUGUGUUGGAUGGAAAGUUAACGUUGUUGAUGUCGGGUGAUGAUGGAAUAUUGGGUGAAAGAGUCUUGCGUGAAGCCAUUCACUGUAGCACGAGAGCAUCUGGAUAUAUACGAGUCCCUUAGCAUAUUCAAAGAGCAAUCUGGACAUAGAUACGUAAAAAAGUUACGUAUGGGAGUAAUCUCCUUAUUGUUAUAUUAUUGUUGUUAUACAUUAGUGAAAUUUUCUAGUAUACAACAAUUAAUGAAAAAUUGGGAUAAUUGGAAUUUUCAAUUUUG